This 624-nucleotide long non-coding RNA is filed under the name Homo sapiens (human). RNAcentral's name for it is "novel transcript". Lineage: Eukaryota; Metazoa; Chordata; Mammalia; Primates; Hominidae. The record is from RNAcentral.
AUCUCACCAUUGCGCUCCAGCCUGGGCAACAAGAGUGAAACUCUGUCUCAAAAGAAAAAAAAAGAAAAGAAAAGAAGAAGAAGAAGGUUCAUCUUCAGACUCCUAGUCCAGAGCUCUCAGCAAUCCUCAUCUUGUAAUGCUGUCUACAGACUCCAAGAUCUCCCAACGUGAAUUAGCAACCGAUGCAUCAAAGGUGGCACCUCGGCCGGGCACGGUGGCUCACGCCUGUAAUCUCAGCACUUUGGGAGGCCGAGGUGUUGGAGCGGGCCGGAGAGAAGUAGAGUGGGCUGCGAGGAGAAGGAAACAGGCCUUUCGGAGGCUCCUCAUCCCUCGGAGGUCAUCCCUUACUCCAGGUGAUCUGAACCUGAAGUCCGAGGCCCCAAGAGUUCUAAGUAACCCAGGGGUGGAGGUGGGGUGGGGGAUCCCAGCUCUUUCCGAUCUGGGAGAUCAGAAAGAUGCUCAUCUGGGAGAGUGGGACCUCCCCUUUCAGUCCGCCCACCCCCGAGGACCGCACUUGGAGGGCCGCACUUGGAGGACCGCGCCUCCAAGGCGGGCGCGGCUGACGCCCGGGGCCCAGGCCAUGUGGGGCGUGCGUGCCGGGAGAAGUGUCCCAGCGCCUCACCC